GGGGAAUAUUGGACAAUGGGGGAAACCCUGAUCCAGCCAUGCCGCGUGAGUGAGGAAGGCCUUAGGGUUGUAAAGCUCUUUCACCCGUGACGAUGAUGACGGUAGCGGGAGAAGAAGCCCCGGCUAACUCCGUGCCAGCAGCCGCGGUAAGGCGGAGGGGGCUAGCGUUGUUCGGAAUUACUGGGCGUAAAGCGCGCGUAGGCGGCCGGUCAAGUUAGGCGUGAAAGGCCUGGGCUCAACCUGGGAACGGCGCUUAAGACUGAUCGGCUGGAGUCCGGGAGAGGGUGGUGGAAUUCCCAGUGUAGAGGUGAAAUUCGUAGAUAUUGGGAGGAACACCAGUGGCGAAGGCGGCCACCUGGCCCGGCACUGACGCUGUGGCGCGAAAGCGUGGGGAGCAAACAGGAUUAGAUACCCUGGUAGUCCACGCCGUAAACGAUGAGUGCUAGAUGCUGGGGGGUUUACCCUUCGGUGUCGCAGCUAACGCGUUAAGCACUCCGCCUGGGGAGUACGGCCGCAAGGUUA
RNAcentral lists this ribosomal RNA (522 nucleotides) under uncultured Pseudomonadota bacterium. Its description in RNAcentral is "bacterial SSU rRNA". It matches the Rfam family "Bacterial small subunit ribosomal RNA", at positions 356 to 896 of the family's 1533-position model. The record is from RNAcentral. Lineage: Bacteria; Pseudomonadati; Pseudomonadota.